UGAGUAACACGUGAGCAAUCUGCCCUUGACUCUGGGAUAACUGCGGGAAACUGUAGCUAAUACCGGAUACGACACCUUGGGGCAUCCCAGGGUGUGGAAAGAAUUUCGGUCAAGGAUGAGCUCGCGGCCUAUCAGCUAGUUGGUGAGGUAAUGGCUCACCAAGGCGACGACGGGUAGCCGGCCUGAGAGGGUGACCGGCCACACUGGAACUGAGACACGGUCCAGACUCCUACGGGAGGCAGCAGUGGGGAAUAUUGCACAAUGGGCGAAAGCCUGAUGCAGCAACGCCGCGUGAGGGGUGAA
Molecule: ribosomal RNA, 303 nt
Filed under: uncultured bacterium
Lineage: Bacteria
Description: bacterial SSU rRNA
Rfam family: Bacterial small subunit ribosomal RNA
Source: RNAcentral